RNAcentral lists this long non-coding RNA (829 nucleotides) under Callithrix jacchus (white-tufted-ear marmoset). RNAcentral's name for it is "lncRNA (ENSCJAG00000078421.1)". Lineage: Eukaryota; Metazoa; Chordata; Mammalia; Primates; Cebidae. The record is from RNAcentral.
UACCAUUCCAAUACCCCUGGAGAGACAUAAAUGCUGGAGGGAGAUAGUGCAGAAGGAAUUUUCUUCCCUCAAUUAGCAGAAGGCUCUGACAAAGUACUUUUCCCUAGAGAAUAGGCCUUUUUGUGGAAAAGGCUCUGAGUGCAUUUCAUAGUUAUUACUCUUCUCCUUUUCCUUCCAGAGCCAAGAGAGGAUCUUCUCAGGUGUUCACAAUUUUCACGAAAGUGGGCUUCCUGGAGAAAAAGAAAGAAGAAAAAAAUGAUCACCCAACAGGAACGAUUGAGGAGGAACAAGGCAUGCAACCCCUCUACCCCCAACACUAUCUUUUUCAGAAACUGUAUAAAAGAUGACAGAACUCACAGAUAAGGCUUCUUUCAAGCAAGAAGAGAAAAGAACUUUUAUCUAAGGAAUGCAACUUCUUUUAAUUAUCAGGCCCAGAGAGACACUCCUCCUUCCUGCCUGACUUGAUCUGUGUAUUCGUCUCUUAAAACUGCUUGUUGUUGCUACAUGUAGCUAUAAAUUAACUUAAUAAUGCCACACCGGACACUAUAAACCACGCUGGAUAACCUAACAAUGUAUAGCUAACCACUAAUCAACGUUAUUUCUGUAAGCCAAUGAGAAUUCCUGACAAACAACUUUGUAUCAGCUCAUUCCCCAUCCCCUUUUUUCCCUUUAAAAAUCGACUUGUAGUUGCUGGUAAUCUGGAUGUAUAUUCAGAGACUUAAAUCUAUGCUCCCAGGUUGCUAUUUUCAAGCUUCGGCUAAAUAAGCUCUUUACUUGUAUUCAUUUUGCCUCAGCUUCUUCUAAUUAGGGAGACAUGAGGUAGGAAAAG